Molecule: ribosomal RNA, 447 nt
Filed under: uncultured bacterium
Lineage: Bacteria
Description: partial 16S ribosomal RNA
Rfam family: Bacterial small subunit ribosomal RNA
Source: RNAcentral
AGCGAACGCUGGCGGCAGGCUUAACACAUGCAAGUCGAACGCCCCGCAAGGGGAGUGGCAGACGGGUGAGUAACACGUGGGAACGUACCCUUUGGUUCGGACUAACUUGGGGAAACUCAAGCUAAUACCGGAUAAGCCCUUAUGGGGAAAGGUUUACUGCCGAAGGAUCGGCCCGCGUCUGAUUAGCUAGUUGGUGAGGUAAGGGCUCACCAAGGCGACGAUCAGUAGCUGGUCUGAGAGGAUGAUCAGCCACACUGGGACUGAGACACGGCCCAGACUCCUACGGGAGGCAGCAGUGGGGAAUAUUGGACAAUGGGGGCAACCCUGAUCCAGCCAUGCCGCGUGAGUGAUGAAGGCCUUAGGGUUGUAAAGCUCUUUUACCCGGGACGAUAAUGACUGUACCGGGAGAAUAAGCCCCGGCUAACUUCGUGCCAGCAGCCGCAGUAA